Molecule: long non-coding RNA, 528 nt
Filed under: Crocodylus porosus (Australian saltwater crocodile)
Lineage: Eukaryota; Metazoa; Chordata; Crocodylia; Crocodylidae
Description: lncRNA (ENSCPRG00005006470.1)
Source: RNAcentral
CCUGCAGGUUGGAGGUGGAAGCUCCUGCUUUACCAACUUCAGAUAAUUUGUUACAGGCAUUUAUCACAUUACUAUGAGCUUUGUUGACUUCAGUGGAACUUGACGUGGACCUUUCAGCUGACAACCUCCAAUUACACGUUGGGUCAGAUAUUGGGUGCUUCAUUGCCAUGGAAAUCAAUGGAAGUCCAGGAUCUAAGUGCCCCUUCAGCUAAUUCUCAUACCACCACUCUAAGGCAUUGAACUUUUCUGGAUCCAACUCACUGGGUUCAAAGUGUUCUUUGGUGUGCAAAUCUGAAAGCUUGAAGGGAUGCCAUGUGUCUUCAACCAAACAAGGGGGAACAGAGAAUCCCAAACCAUUAUUGUCUGUUGUGAUGUCUUGAUAAGGACUAGAUGGGAGCUGUUCACCUUCAAAAUCAUGGGGCCAGAAGGAUAUCAGAAAUGUACAAAGGGGGCUUUCUGCUACAGACUGUUGAGCCGACAGAGAAGGUUGAGAUGUGUAUACAAGGACCCAGGCUGUGCAGCACCUUG